UCCGUGGUGACGCGGAAUCUGAAAGAAGCGAGCGGCAAACUUCCGGUCUAUGGAGGGAAAUAUUGCACUC
Anoxybacillus sp. BCO1 is the source of this 70-nucleotide non-coding RNA. NCBI's taxonomy places the organism in Bacteria, Bacillati, Bacillota, Bacilli, Caryophanales, Anoxybacillaceae. The record is from Rfam.